AAGUUGUCAUGUAAUUUUCUUUCCCUAAGGUUCUUUGAAGUGUUUUAAGACAAACUUGAGUACCUUAAUUCAAGAUAAGUCAAUUUUGACGCUCAACUUGAGGGAAGAAGAUUGAGAGGUGAGUUAAAUACGAGAGAAUUAUGAGUGAAUGGUAUUUCGCUACUAAUUUUUUCUUGUAGGGAUUUCAUAAUAUCUCAACCAAGCGAGAAAUAAUAGUCCAGCAUAUCU
This 228-nucleotide long non-coding RNA is filed under the name Carica papaya (papaya). Its description in RNAcentral is "long non-coding RNA (CPAP_LNC006490)". The record is from RNAcentral. Lineage: Eukaryota; Viridiplantae; Streptophyta; Magnoliopsida; Brassicales; Caricaceae.